RNAcentral lists this ribosomal RNA (431 nucleotides) under uncultured bacterium. RNAcentral's name for it is "bacterial SSU rRNA". It matches the Rfam family "Bacterial small subunit ribosomal RNA", at positions 28 to 439 of the family's 1533-position model. The record is from RNAcentral.
GACGAACGCUGGCGGCGUGCCUAACACAUGCAAGUCGAACGGAACUGUUUUGAAAGAUUUCUUCGGAAUGAAUUUGAUUUAGUUUAGUGGCGGACGGGUGAGUAACGCGUGAGUAACCUGCCUUCAAGAGGGGGAUAACAUUCUGAAAAGAAUGCUAAUACCGCAUGACAUAUCGGAAUCACAUGAUUUUGAUAUCAAAGAUUUUAUCGCUUGAAGAUGGACUCGCGUCCGAUUAGUUAGUUGGUGAGGUAACGGCUCACCAAGACCGCGAUCGGUAGCCGGACUGAGAGGUUGAACGGCCACAUUGGGACUGAGACACGGCCCAGACUCCUACGGGAGGCAGCAGUGGGGGAUAUUGCACAAUGGGGGCAACCCUGACGCAGCAACGCCGCGUGAAGGAUGAAGGUUUUCGGAUUGUAAACUUCUUUUAU